GAUGAACGCUGGCGGCGUGCCUAACACAUGCAAGUCGAGCGAUUCUCUUCGGAGAAGAGCGGCGGACGGGUGAGUAACGCGUGGGUAACCUGCCCUGUACACACGGAUAACAUACCGAAAGGUAUGCUAAUACGAGAUGAUAUAUGGAAGUUGCAUGACUUUUAUAUCAAAGCUUUUGCGGUACAGGAUGGACCCGCGUCUGAUUAGCUAGUUGGUAAGGUAACGGCUUACCAAGGCGACGAUCAGUAGCCGACCUGAGAGGGUGAUCGGCCACACUGGAACUGAGACACGGUCCAGACUCCUACGGGAGGCAGCAGUGGGGAAUAUUGCACAAUGGGCGAAAGCCUGAUGCAGCAACGCCGCGUGAGCGAUGAAGGCCUUCGGGUCGUAAAGCUCUGUCCUCAAGGAAGAUAAUGACGGUACUGAGAGAGCCCGWUWUYC
This 441-nucleotide ribosomal RNA is filed under the name uncultured bacterium. RNAcentral's name for it is "bacterial SSU rRNA". It matches the Rfam family "Bacterial small subunit ribosomal RNA", at positions 28 to 497 of the family's 1533-position model. The record is from RNAcentral.